UGUGUACUCCCUCCAUUCCAAAAUACUUGACUUCCAUUUUUCCAAAAAUGGAUGUACCUAUAUACUAAAACAUGUCUAGAUACAUCUAUAUUUUGACAAAUAGAAGGCAUGUAUUGUGGAACGGAGUGAAUAGAAU
Non-coding RNA from Triticum aestivum (bread wheat), 136 nucleotides. NCBI's taxonomy places the organism in Eukaryota, Viridiplantae, Streptophyta, Magnoliopsida, Poales, Poaceae. The record is from Rfam.